RNAcentral lists this ribosomal RNA (252 nucleotides) under uncultured bacterium. RNAcentral's name for it is "partial 16S ribosomal RNA". It matches the Rfam family "Bacterial small subunit ribosomal RNA", at positions 524 to 776 of the family's 1533-position model. The record is from RNAcentral.
UACGUAGGGUGCAAGCGUUGUCCGGAAUUAUUGGGCGUAAAGAGCUCGUAGGCGGUUUGUCGCGUCUGCUGUGAAAACCCGAGGCUCAACCUCGGGCCUGCAGUGGGUACGGGCAGACUAGAGUGCGGUAGGGGAGAUUGGAAUUCCUGGUGUAGCGGUGGAAUGCGCAGAUAUCAGGAGGAACACCAAUGGCGAAGGCAGAUCUCUGGGCCGUAACUGACGCUGAGGAGCGAAAGCAUGGGAGCGAACAGG